GACAGAGGGUGCAAACGUUGCUCGGAAUUACUGGGCGUAAAGCGCGUGUAGGCGGACCCGCAAGUCGGACGUGAAAUCCCUGAGCUCAACUCAGGAACUGCAUCCGAAACUGCGGGUCUGGAGUGGUGGAGAGGGAAGCAGAAUUCCUGGUGUAGAGGUGAAAUCCGUAGAUAUCGGGAGGAACACCAGUGGCGAAGGCGGCCAUCUGGACGGUGACUGACGCUGAGACGCGAAAGCGUGGGGAGCAAACAGG
This 253-nucleotide ribosomal RNA is filed under the name uncultured bacterium. Its description in RNAcentral is "partial 16S ribosomal RNA". It matches the Rfam family "Bacterial small subunit ribosomal RNA", at positions 524 to 776 of the family's 1533-position model. The record is from RNAcentral.